AUACGUAGGGGGCGAGCGUUGUCCGGAAUGAUUGGGCGUAAAGGGCGCGUAGGCGGCCCGGUAAGUCUGGAGUGAAAGUCCUGUUUUUAAGAUGGGAAUUGCUUUGGAUACUGUCGGGCUUGAGUGCAGGAGAGGUAAGUGGAAUUCCCAGUGUAGCGGUGAAAUGCGUAGAGAUUGGGAGGAACACCAGUGGCGAAGGCGACUUACUGGACUGUAACUGACGCUGAGGCGCGAAAGCGUGGGGAGCGAACAGGAUUAGAUACCCUGGUAGUCCACGCUGUAAACGAUGAAUGCUAGGUGUAGGGGGUAUCGACCCCUCCUGUGCCGGAGUAAACGCAAUAAGCAUUCCGCCUGGGGAGUACGGCCGCAAGGUUGAAACUCAAAGGAAUUGACGGGG
This 397-nucleotide ribosomal RNA is filed under the name uncultured bacterium. RNAcentral describes it as "partial 16S ribosomal RNA". It matches the Rfam family "Bacterial small subunit ribosomal RNA", at positions 523 to 918 of the family's 1533-position model. The record is from RNAcentral.